CGUAGGAGGCAAGCGUUAUCCGGAUUCACUGGGCGUAAAGCGCGUGCAGGCGGUGCGGUAAGUUAGGCGUGAAAUCUCCCGGCUCAACUGGGAGAGGUCGUCUAAUACUACCGUACUAGAGAGCAGAAGAGGAAGAUGGAAUUCCCGGUGUAGUGGUGAAAUGCGUAGAUAUCGGGAGGAACACCAGUGGCGAAGGCGAUCUUCUGGUCUGUUUCUGACGCUCAGACGCGACAGCUAGGGUAGUAAACGGGAUUAGAGACCCCGGUAAUCCUAGCCGUAAACGAUGUGAACUUGGCGUUGGUGGGUUAAACUCCAUCAGUGCCGCAGCAAACGCGAUAAGUUCACCGCCUGGGGACUACGGCCGCAAGGUUA
This 372-nucleotide ribosomal RNA is filed under the name uncultured organism. RNAcentral describes it as "bacterial SSU rRNA". It matches the Rfam family "Bacterial small subunit ribosomal RNA", at positions 526 to 896 of the family's 1533-position model. The record is from RNAcentral.